AUGCCGGCUGGCGUCAAGUUCGAUCCCACAGAUCAGGAGCUGAUCAAGCACCUUGAGGCCAAAGUGAGUGCUGACAGCGCGAGAUUUCAGUCUCUCAUCGAUUUGUUCAUACCAACCAUCGACAGCGAGCACGACAUAUGCUACACCCAACCUGAGAAACUUCCAGGUAUCACACUAAGUGGCCUAAGGAAGCAUUUCUUCCGGCGCAAUUCCAGGACAUUCAAAAGGGGCACAUGGGCAUCAAAAAAGGUUCUGAUGCUGCACACCAGCAAGAACUUCGACAAGCAGAGGACCAACUGGGUGAUGCACCAGUACCACCUCGGGGACCUGGAGCAAGAGAAGGAGCGGGAGCAGGCCCAGCCCAUGACGACAACGGGGCACAAUGAUCCAGCAGGUAUCUACUGGCCUCUGGCCCGCUGGCGUUAG
This 426-nucleotide ribosomal RNA is filed under the name Triticum aestivum (bread wheat). RNAcentral's name for it is "partial small subunit ribosomal RNA". The record is from RNAcentral. Lineage: Eukaryota; Viridiplantae; Streptophyta; Magnoliopsida; Poales; Poaceae.